GGAAGGAUCAUUAACGAAAGCUCGAGCGAGGUUGUAGCUGGCCCCCCCUCUCCGGGGUGAACGUGCACGCCUCGUCUCCGUCUUCCAUCUCUCACCCCCCUGUGCACCUCUGCGUGGGCUCGUAGCGUCGCUUCGCUUCGGGCCCGCGUCACUUUUCACGACGAAAACCCCUUUGCAUGUAUCGGAACGUCUCGUUUUGCCGUCGAAGCAAAAACUCAUACAACUUUCAACAACGGAUCUCUUGGCUCUCGCAUCGAUGAAGAACGCAGCGAAAUGCGAUAAGUAAUGUGAAUUGCAGAAUUCAGUGAAUCAUCGAAUCUUUGAACGCACCUUGCGCCUCUUGGUAUUCCGAGGGGCACGCCUGUUUGAGUAUCGUGAAAUCCUCAACCCGACUCCUUUUGUGAAAGGGGGAGGAGGGCUUGGACUUUGGAGGUCUUGCCGGUCCCCGUAGGGAAAUCGGCUCCUCUCGAACGCAUCAGUGGAGCUCGUCCGCUUCUCUCUCUUGGCGUGAUAAUUCAUCUGCGCCGACGUGUGUGAGAAGGGAAAGCGCCGCUUCGAACCGUCUCGUCCGAGACAAGCUUUUUGAACCAUUCGAUCUCAAAUCAGGCGGGACUACCCGCUGAACUUAAGCAUAUCAAUAAGCGGGAGGAAAGAAACUAACGAGGAUUCCCCUAGUAACUGCGAGUGAAGCGGGAAAAGCUCAAAUUUGAAAUCUGGCGGUCUUUGGNCGUCCGAGUUGUAGUCUGGAGAGCGCUUUCCGCGCUGGAC
This 768-nucleotide ribosomal RNA is filed under the name uncultured Agaricaceae. RNAcentral describes it as "eukaryotic LSU rRNA". The stretch from base 222 to 375 matches the Rfam family "5.8S ribosomal RNA". The record is from RNAcentral. Lineage: Eukaryota; Fungi; Basidiomycota; Agaricomycetes; Agaricales; Agaricaceae.